CGAGAGUUUCUGGAUCUCCUCAUCCCCAUAUCCUGGGACAAUUGCCUGCUGAUCAUGGAUGAGUAAAUAUGUGAGUCGAGCCAGGCCGCUCGAUCCUAUCUCCAUCAUAUGCUGUGCUCCUCCUGACCUAAGACCUACUCGUGGUAUCAUCCUGUGGCAAUAAAAAUAUCACCUUGCGAUGUCGCUUCUCGUUCUCCCGAGUCUCAUGUCUCAUGCUUGAUCCACCUCCACCUGGAGCUCCAUCUCGCUCUGAGCUCCACCUGGCUCCUGAAGCUUCACCUCGCAC
Molecule: long non-coding RNA, 286 nt
Filed under: Elaeis guineensis (African oil palm)
Lineage: Eukaryota; Viridiplantae; Streptophyta; Magnoliopsida; Arecales; Arecaceae
Description: long non-coding RNA (EGUI_LNC014038)
Source: RNAcentral